This 506-nucleotide ribosomal RNA is filed under the name uncultured bacterium. Its description in RNAcentral is "partial 16S ribosomal RNA". It matches the Rfam family "Bacterial small subunit ribosomal RNA", at positions 29 to 523 of the family's 1533-position model. The record is from RNAcentral.
AUUGAACGCUGGCGGCAGGCCUAACACAUGCAAGUCGAACGGCAGCACAGAAGAGCUUGCUCUUUGGGUGGCGAGUGGCGGACGGGUGAGUAAUGUCUGGGAAACUGCCCGAUGGAGGGGGAUAACUACUGGAAACGGUAGCUAAUACCGCAUAACGUCGCGAGACCAAAGUGGGGGACCUUCGGGCCUCACACCAUCGGAUGUGCCCAGAUGGGAUUAGCUAGUAGGUGGGGUAAUGGCCCACCUAGGCGACGAUCCCUAGCUGGUCUGAGAGGAUGACCAGCCACACUGGAACUGAGACACGGUCCAGACUCCUACGGGAGGCAGCAGUGGGGAAUAUUGCACAAUGGGCGCAAGCCUGAUGCAGCCAUGCCGCGUGUAUGAAGAAGGCCUUCGGGUUGUAAAGUACUUUCAGCGGGGAGGAAGGCGGUGAGGUUAAUAACCUCGCCGAUUGACGUUACCCGCGGAAGAAGCACCGGCUAACUCCGUGCCAGCCGCCGCGGUAA